Molecule: non-coding RNA, 115 nt
Organism: Triticum aestivum (bread wheat)
Lineage: Eukaryota; Viridiplantae; Streptophyta; Magnoliopsida; Poales; Poaceae
Source: Rfam
CUACUACUCCCUCCGUCCGAAAAUACUUGUCAUUGAAAUGGAUGUAUCUAGAUGUAUUUUAGUUCUAGACACAUCCAUUUUCAUGACAAGUAAUUCCGGACGGAGGGAGUAUUAU